This 253-nucleotide ribosomal RNA is filed under the name uncultured bacterium. Its description in RNAcentral is "partial 16S ribosomal RNA". It matches the Rfam family "Bacterial small subunit ribosomal RNA", at positions 524 to 776 of the family's 1533-position model. The record is from RNAcentral.
UACGAAGGGGGCUAGCGUUGUUCGGAUUUACUGGGCGUAAAGCGCACGUAGGCGGAUCGAUCAGUCAGGGGUGAAAUCCCAGGGCUCAACCCUGGAACUGCCUUUGAUACUGUCGAUCUGGAGUAUGGAAGAGGUGAGUGGAAUUCCGAGUGUAGAGGUGAAAUUCGUAGAUAUUCGGAAGAACACCAGUGGCGAAGGCGGCCAACUGGUCCGGCACUGACGCUGAGGUGCGAAAGCGUGGGGAGCAAACAGG